Carya illinoinensis is the source of this 890-nucleotide long non-coding RNA. RefSeq lists it as uncharacterized. The transcript has 2 exons. The record is from RefSeq and is a predicted model, not a curated record. Lineage: Eukaryota; Viridiplantae; Streptophyta; Magnoliopsida; Fagales; Juglandaceae.
CUCUCCAACGCCACUCCCUGCAAACUAGUUGCAGCCUCUUUGGCCACCAUGAGGAAGCCAUCACAGGCCAACCACCCCAAUCCCUCCCUCGGCCCUCACUCCCUCAAUGUUGCCAUCUCCUCUCUCUCUCUCUCUCUCUCUCUCUCUCUCUCUCUCUCUCUCUCAACUGCCUCCAUGACGUGAUGCCACCACCACCUCCUCUCAUCCCUCUCGGUUUCACUCUCCCUCUCUCAGAUCUCUCUCCCUUCCCUUCUCUUCUCCAUCUGUCUCUCUAGACUAGGACUCUGCCACCGCCAUACUCCACGACAUGACAUCGUGGUCUCAGAUGGCUCCUCUGUGUCCCUUUCUCACUUUCCCCACAUCGAUCAACCCACAUCAACCCCAACACCUCCCUCAACACUCUGUUUGUCUUCCUCUCUCAGUAGUUGUCUGUGAGCCACUGCAAGUUGGUAACGCCACCACGGUCUCCUCUCCCUUGAUGUGAGCCUUCCACCAUGAGACCCAACUAAGGCCCCCAACACCAACAACCCAAUUCUUUUGUGCCUAGACCGAAAUCUCGAUUUAUGGGAGACAGUGGUGGGGGGAGCUUUCAUUUCUAUAAUCGAAGUUAUUCCAGCAUCGAUGAUGGGACCCAGCUUUGAUAACAAUAAGCUGCACGUACGAGACCCAUCAUGUAGAAUAUAUAUAAUAGUGAUCUUAGCCAUACAGUCACACAUUAGGUUGUAAGAUAUACGAGUUUUUCAGCUGAACUUUUAAGGGUAAGGGAGAACUUGCAUGGUGAGAAAUUGUAGUUUAGGAUUAUAGGCAUCGAUUACAGCGUUUUCCUUUGUAUGGAGAAUAGAAUUUUGAUCUUUCAACCAUAUGCACAAUGUUAGAAAAGAAUUUACUGA